This is a ribosomal RNA of 1304 nucleotides. The stretch from base 601 to 1304 matches the Rfam family "Archaeal large subunit ribosomal RNA", at positions 1423 to 2816 of the family's 2987-position model.
UAUUUAUAAUAUUGUCUUUUAUAAUGUUUUUUUUAAUUUUAAAUUAAGUAAAAUUAGGUCUUUGUAUAAUUAAUUAAUUAGAUUAUUUUAACUAUAGUAAAUUAGUAUUGUGAGUGAAAUUAAAAUUAAUGAUUAUAAUUUUUAAAAGUUUAUUUUAAUUAUAGUAUCUUGUGUAUCAGAGUAUAUAGAAAUGUAAAAUUUAAUUUAUUUUCUCGAAUUUAAAAGAGCUAAUUAAAUAAUUUAUUUAUUGUGUUAUAAAUAUUAAAAAUGUUUAAUUGGUAAUGAAAUGUUAAUCGUUUUUAAGGAUAUCUAGUUUUUUAAUAAAUGAAUUUAAUUCACAAUCUUUAUAUUUACUUUAUUUUUAAAGGAUUAAAGUAUUUAGAGGUUUUAAUUUUAAAAGGGAAAAUCUUUUUAAAAUAUUAUUAUAAUUAUUUAUUUUUAUAGAAUUUUAUAAAUUUAGAAUUUGUUAAUAUUUAAAGGAUGUUAAAAUUUAAUUCUAUAUUUAUUAGAUUUGUUGUUUAUUUAAAAUUUAUAUUAAAAUGUUAAUAAUAGUUAAGUAUAUUUAAUAAAUAUUAUUUAAUUAGUAAAUUUAUAUUUAUUUGUUAUAAUUAUUGAAAGGUUAAUUUAAAUAAUUAGGCAAAUAUUUUACUCGCCUGUUUAUUAAAAACAUGGUUUCUUGACUUAUGAAUAAGAGAUUUAACCUGCCCACUGAAAUAUUUUUGAAGGGCCGCAGUAUUUUGACUGUGCAAAGGUAGCAUAAUCAUUAGUCUUUUAAUUAAAGGCUGGAAUGAAUGGUUGGACGAGGUAAAUUCUGUUUCAAAUUAAUUUUUAUUGAAUUUAGACUUUAAGUAAAAAUACUUAAAUUUUAUUAAGGGACGAGAAGACCCUAUAGAGUUUAAUAAAUAUACUAUUAAUUGAGUUAUUUUUUAAUUUUUGGUUAAUAUGAAAUUUAUUUAAUUGGGGUGAUUAGAAGAUAAACAUAACUCUUCUUUAAUUUAAAUAAUUUAUUUAGAUAAUUGAUCCAUAAUAAUGAUUAUAAGAUUAAAUUACCUUAGGGAUAACAGCAUAAUUUUCUUUAAGAGUUCUUAUCGAAAAGAGAGAUUGUGACCUCGAUGUUGGAUUAAGAUAAAUUUUGGGUGUAGAUGUUCAAAUAUUAGGUCUGUUCGACCUUUAAAUUCUUACAUGAUCUGAGUUUAAACCGGCGUGAGCCAGGUUGGUUUCUAUCUUUAAUUUUAUUAAACUUUUUAGUACGAGAGGACCCAAAGUUUAAAAUAAUUUUAUUUUAAAUGAAUAUUAAUAAUUAG